Molecule: transfer RNA, 41 nt
Filed under: Cyclodictyon roridum
Lineage: Eukaryota; Viridiplantae; Streptophyta; Bryopsida; Hookeriales; Callicostaceae
Description: partial tRNA-Phe
Source: RNAcentral
CCGGAAUAGCUCAGUKGGUAGAGCAGAGGACUGAAAAUCCU